Molecule: transfer RNA, 40 nt
Filed under: Psammodromus edwarsianus
Lineage: Eukaryota; Metazoa; Chordata; Lepidosauria; Squamata; Lacertidae
Description: partial tRNA-Leu
Source: RNAcentral
CUUUUAAAGGAUAAUUAGACAUCCAUUGGUCUUAGGAGCC